AGUGAAGUGCCUGAGUAAAGGGUAAUUUUGAUAGAAUUAAUAACGUGAUCUACACCUUCAUUA
This 63-nucleotide transfer RNA is filed under the name Anoplophora horsfieldii. RNAcentral describes it as "Anoplophora horsfieldi tRNA-Ile". The record is from RNAcentral. Lineage: Eukaryota; Metazoa; Arthropoda; Insecta; Coleoptera; Cerambycidae.